Non-coding RNA from Vicia faba (fava bean), 270 nucleotides. The record is from the annotation of a GenBank genome assembly. NCBI's taxonomy places the organism in Eukaryota, Viridiplantae, Streptophyta, Magnoliopsida, Fabales, Fabaceae.
AUGACGUGUCACUUGAGGUUAGCUACUCGUGAUAGAACUCAUAAAUAUGGGAUGUGUGUGGAGAGUACUUGUUGCUUUUAUGACAAUGAGAAGAAUAUCCAACACCUUUUCUUUGGUUGUGAUACAUUGAAGGCUAUUUGCAAGAAUGUGUUAGCAUGGAUUCAAGUAAAGCACGAACCUGCUGAAUGGAAUGAAGAGCUACAAUGGCUUAGCAGAAAAGGAAGAAGCAGAACUUGGAAAUCUAUGAUGCUCAAGCUAGCAACCACAUAA